GCGGCGCGCUUAACACAUGCAAGUCGCGCGAUCGGACCGGACCUGACUCCUUCGGGAUGACGGACCGGUUACGGAGCGGCGGACUGGUGAGUAACACGUAGCUAACCUCCCUUCGGGCGGGAAAUAGCAUCGGGAAACUGAUGUUAAUAUCCCAUAACCAUGAGAGAACCCAAGUUCUCCCAUUAAAGUGGUUUCGACCAUACCUGAAGAUGGGGCUGCGUCCUAUUAGCUUGACGGUGAGGUAAAGGCUCACCGUGGCGAAGAUAGGUAGGGGGCCUGAGAGGGCGAUCCCCCACACUGGGACUGAGACACGGCCCAGACUCCUACGGGAGGCUGCAGUGGGGAAUCUUGCGCAAUGGUCGAAAGACUGACGCAGCGACGUCGCGUGGAGGACGAAGGCCUUCGGGUUGUAAACUCCUUUUCUGGGGGAAGAAUAAGAUGAGUAGGCAAUGGCUCACCGAUGACGGUACCUCAGGAACAAGCGCCGGCUAACUUCGUGCCAGCAGCCGCGGUAAGACGAAGGGCGCAAGCGUUAUCCGGAAUUACUGGGCGUAAAGGGCGUCUAGGCGGUCAGUCAAGUCAGUCGUGAAAGUCCUUGGCUAAACUGAGGAAAGUCGACCGAUACUGAUUGACUAGAGGGACGUAGAGGGAAGCGGAACUCUCGGAGUAGCGGUGAAAUGCGUAGAGACCGAGAGGUACCCCGAUGGUGAAGACAGCUUCCUGGGCGUCUCCUGACGCUGAAGCGCUAAGGCCAGGGGAGCGAAGGGGAUUAGAUACCCCCGUAGUCCUGGCUUCAAACUAUGUGGGCUUGGUGUCGGCUCCCGAUAGAGAGUCGUUGCCGGAGCUAACGUGUUAAGCCCACCGCCUGGGGAUUACGUCC
This 880-nucleotide ribosomal RNA is filed under the name uncultured bacterium. RNAcentral describes it as "bacterial SSU rRNA". It matches the Rfam family "Bacterial small subunit ribosomal RNA", at positions 39 to 887 of the family's 1533-position model. The record is from RNAcentral.